This 433-nucleotide ribosomal RNA is filed under the name uncultured bacterium. Its description in RNAcentral is "partial 16S ribosomal RNA". It matches the Rfam family "Bacterial small subunit ribosomal RNA", at positions 29 to 507 of the family's 1533-position model. The record is from RNAcentral.
AACGAACGCUGGCGGCAUGCCUAACACAUGCAAGUCGAGCGAGGACUUCGGUUCUAGCGGCGGACGGGUGAGUAACGCGUGGGAAUGUGCCCUUCUCUACGGAAUAGCCCUGGGAAACUGGGAGUAAUACCGUAUACGCCCUAUUGGGGAAAGAUUUAUCGGAGAAGGAUCAGCCCGCGUUGGAUUAGGUAGUUGGUGGGGUAAUGGCCUACCAAGCCGACGAUCCAUAGCUGGUUUGAGAGGAUGAUCAGCCACACUGGGACUGAGACACGGCCCAGACUCCUACGGGAGGCAGGAGUGGGGAAUCUUAGAAAAUGGGGGCAACCCUGAUCGAGCCAUGCCGCGUGAGUGAUGAAGGCCUUAGGGUUGUAAAGCUCUUUCAGCUGGGAAGAUAAUGACGGUACCAGCAGAAGAAGCCCCGGCUAACUCCGUG